RNAcentral lists this ribosomal RNA (662 nucleotides) under uncultured beta proteobacterium. RNAcentral describes it as "bacterial SSU rRNA". It matches the Rfam family "Bacterial small subunit ribosomal RNA", at positions 49 to 708 of the family's 1533-position model. The record is from RNAcentral. Lineage: Bacteria; Pseudomonadati; Pseudomonadota; Betaproteobacteria.
UUACACAUGCAAGUCGAACGGUAACAGGUCUUCGGAUGCUGACGAGUGGCGAACGGGUGAGUAAUACAUCGGAACGUGCCCGAUCGGGGGGGAUAACGAGGCGAAAGCUUUGCUAAUACCGCAUACGAUCUACGGAUGAAAGCGGGGGAUCUUCGGACCUCGCGCGGACGGAGCGGCCGAUGGCAGAUUAGGUAGUUGGUGGGAUAAAAGCUUACCAAGCCGACGAUCUGUAGCUGGUCUGAGAGGAUGAUCAGCCACACUGGGACUGAGACACGGCCCAGACUCCUACGGGAGGCAGCAGUGGGGAAUUUUGGACAAUGGGCGAAAGCCUGAUCCAGCCAUGCCGCGUGCAGGAUGAAGGCCUUCGGGUUGUAAACUGCUUUUGUACGGAACGAAAAGCCUCUUUCUAAUAAAGAGGGGUCAUGACGGUACCGUAAGAAUAAGCACCGGCUAACUACGUGCCAGCAGCCGCGGUAAUACGUAGGGUGCAAGCGUUAAUCGGAAUUACUGGGCGUAAAGCGUGCGCAGGCGGUUUUGUAAGACAGAGGUGAAAUCCCCGGGCUCAACCUGGGAACUGCCUUUGUGACUGCAAGGCUGGAGUGCGGCAGAGGGGGAUGGAAUUCCGCGUGUAGCAGUGAAAUGCGUAGAUAUGCGGAGGAACA